CAGUCUCGGGUGGAGGCAGCAGUUGGGUUGGCUGGAGGUUUACGGCUCUGGGUGGUCCUAUGCCGAGGGUUCAUCAAGAGUGACGGAGCCACUUGUAGCGAAAAGCUCUUAAGCAGCAGUGUGCCUCUGCCAUCUACUGACUGGUUUAUUCUCUCUACUGAUUGGUUUUGGGUGGUGACAAGGCUCAGGGAGAUGGCAGCAUUGCAAGAGGGAGGGAGAUCCCAGAUCAACAUAUUUGGGAUGAGCUCUGAGGCUGUCUCAGCAACUCCUGGACGUCUCUGCCUGUGGCACCUCAGCUGUCUCCGAAUGAACAUUCAGGCAGCUCUGCUGGAGAAGCAAAGGCACACAGGCCCUAAUGCUGGACUGUGCCGCGCUGUGCCCCAGGGAAGGGAGAGAAGACCUGCUGAAACAGUGCACACCUGCCAAGCUUCACAUCAGAUUUCUUCACUCUACAGAAAGAUAAUAGCCUGGAACAGGGGUUGGCCGACACUGUCAGGCAGGACUCAGAAACCACAGAAGGCCCUGGGUGCUUGACGUUGAAGUGUCUACACUGCUUUCCAUCCAUUACUUGCCUCUCCAGUAGAUUUUGCUGUUAUUUUCAUGGAACAAAGACUUUGCCAGACCAGUUUCUAAGUUGGAGAAGUGAAGCCACUUGGUCACUGUUUAACUGAACCAAUUAACUGGAGGUAUGACAGCCACAAGCAUGGACAAGACUCUUGUGCUGCAGAAGGGAGGAUGUGGUUAAGUGUUCUUGUGCAAAGACAUGUGGGGUGAGGGUGAAAUAAUUUUGGGCUGUACCUUAUACUUUUGCGCAUGUAAAUUAUACUUCAGUAACAAGUUAAAAAAUAAAAAAGAAAAGCAAAAUAGUCUUGGCAUACAUUUUGUGGCAAAUUAACUAAUGGUCAACUUGUAAUGCCCAGCUGAACUGAAUCAGUGUGCUCUGUGUGUGGAAGACCCACCUGAGGAUUGUUGCCAAUAGCCAUAAAAAGAGAACUGGAGGGGACGAUCUUAGCCUGUUGAUUUCCUAGGAGAAGCUUGCUGGUGCAAACUUGGCUGCUCUCAUCAAAGGAGGAGCUUAGGCCCUUGCUGUCGCUGGGAAUGGCUGCUGUUCUCAUCAGGGGAGCUCCGAUCCUCACUGAGGUCAUUACUUCUUAUUGAAGAGCAGUGUUCCACUGUAUGAGGAGAACACCAUUGGUUUGUUCACUCUCCAAACAGAAGUUUGAGCUGGAUUGAGUUAUUUUUAGUUUCUGGCUAUUCAAAUAAAGCUUCUAUGACACCUGGUUCUAAAUGUUGUAUUUAUCUUGGGUGACCUGCAGGCAACUAUCAGUGAAAGUUCCUCUCCAGAGUGGGGAUGACACUGUUUUCAUGGCCCCUCCAAAAGGAAGACUCCUGGGACUCCUGUGGCAAUGGUCUGUGGGGACUGGCUUGGCAUCACUCUUCAUCCAAUUCCUCUCCCAUCCUGGAGGCCCCAUCUAGCACCCAGGGAGGGUGCAGGUAGCCUUUUCUAUCCUCUCUCCAUUACACAGCAGAGGGUUAACUUCUGUAUCCUUUCUCUUUGGAGCCUCAACAGAUAUGUGUUUCCUCUUGAGAAAACCCAACUCUUACAAAUUCAAAACUUUGGAUUUCACAGUUAUUUCUGAUGUGGGGGUUCAACACAAAUGUUUAUUUAAGGAGCUGAAAAAUAGAAUAUUAACUAUAUCUUUCUUUUGUACUCUUGAUAUAAAAAAAUCUAUCUUUGCAGCAACUACAAUGCUUCUGACUGAUUUUCCCAACCUUUAUAGACCAGGAAAUACUGAAAAGACAGGACAAAAAUGAUCAUGUCUAGAUAUUAUUUUGUGAUAGAC
Molecule: long non-coding RNA, 1844 nt
Organism: Heterocephalus glaber (naked mole-rat)
Lineage: Eukaryota; Metazoa; Chordata; Mammalia; Rodentia; Bathyergidae
Source: Ensembl